Molecule: ribosomal RNA, 499 nt
Filed under: Salmonella enterica
Lineage: Bacteria; Pseudomonadati; Pseudomonadota; Gammaproteobacteria; Enterobacterales; Enterobacteriaceae
Description: bacterial SSU rRNA
Source: RNAcentral
AAAUUGAAGAGUUUGAUCAUGGCUCAGAUUGAACGCUGGCGGCAGGCCUAACACAUGCAAGUCGAACGGUAACAGGAAGCAGCUUGCUGCUUYGCUGACGAGUGGCGGACGGGUGAGUAAUGUCUGGGAAACUGCCUGAUGGAGGGGGAUAACUACUGGAAACGGUGGCUAAUACCGCAUAACGUCGCAAGACCAAAGAGGGGGACCUUCGGGCCUCUUGCCAUCAGAUGUGCCCAGAUGGGAUUAGCUAGUUGGUGAGGUAACGGCUCACCAAGGCGACGAUCCCUAGCUGGUCUGAGAGGAUGACCAGCCACACUGGAACUGAGACACGGUCCAGACUCCUACGGGAGGCAGCAGUGGGGAAUAUUGCACAAUGGGCGCAAGCCUGAUGCAGCCAUGCCGCGUGUAUGAAGAAGGCCUUCGGGUUGUAAAGUACUUUCAGCGGGGAGGAAGGUGUUGUGGUUAAUAACCRCAGCAAUUGACGUUACCCGCAGAAGAA